This 75-nucleotide transfer RNA is filed under the name Mailhella sp. RNAcentral's name for it is "tRNA-Gln". It matches the Rfam family "tRNA". From Rfam's summary of the family: Transfer RNA (tRNA) molecules are approximately 80 nucleotides in length. Lineage: Bacteria; Pseudomonadati; Thermodesulfobacteriota; Desulfovibrionia; Desulfovibrionales; Desulfovibrionaceae. The record is from RNAcentral.
UGGGGUGUAGCCAAGCGGUAAGGCAGAGGGUUUUGGUUCCUCGAUGCGAAGGUUCGAGUCCUUCCACCCCAGCCA